This 170-nucleotide unclassified non-coding RNA is filed under the name soil metagenome. Its description in RNAcentral is "partial internal transcribed spacer 1". The record is from RNAcentral.
CAGAGCUGAAAAGCUACCUUAACCAUCGCUAAUAUACUGUAUCAGUUGCUUCGGCAGGCGCGGCUCCCCAGGCGGGGACCCAUCCCGCCUGCUCAGAGGUAGGGCAGCCUGCCGAUGGUACGAAACUCUUGUUAUAUGUUAACUCUCUGAGUAUAAAACAAAUGAAUUCA